RNAcentral lists this ribosomal RNA (253 nucleotides) under uncultured bacterium. RNAcentral's name for it is "partial 16S ribosomal RNA". It matches the Rfam family "Bacterial small subunit ribosomal RNA", at positions 524 to 776 of the family's 1533-position model. The record is from RNAcentral.
UACAGAGGAGCCAAGCGUUGUCCGGAUUGACUGGGCGUAAAGCGCACGCAGGCGGGGGUGCGCGUGGGGUGUGAAAUCUGGCCGCUUAACGGCCAGGCGCCAUCCCAUACGGCACGCCUGGAGCCUUGCAGAGGUCGGUGGAAUUGCCGGUGUAGUGGUGAAAUGCGUAGAGAUCGGCAGGAACACCCAGGGGGAAACCAGUCGACUGGGCAUCUACUGACGCUGAGGUGCGAGAGCGUGGGGAGCGAACCGG